Molecule: non-coding RNA, 27 nt
Filed under: Bombyx mori (domestic silkworm)
Lineage: Eukaryota; Metazoa; Arthropoda; Insecta; Lepidoptera; Bombycidae
Source: RNAcentral
ACGAUCAAUAAGCCUUUGGAAAGUCGC